GAUGAACGCUGGCGGCGUGCCUAAUACAUGCAAGUCGAGCGAACAGACGAGGAGCUUGCUCCUCUGACGUUAGCGGCGGACGGGUGAGUAACACGUGGAUAACCUACCUAUAAGACUGGGAUAACUUCGGGAAACCGGAGCUAAUACCGGAUAAUAUAUUGAACCGCAUGGUUCAAUAGUGAAAGACGGUUUUGCUGUCACUUAUAGAUGGAUCCGCGCCGCAUUAGCUAGUUGGUAAGGUAACGGCUUACCAAGGCAACGAUGCGUAGCCGACCUGAGAGGGGGACGGGCCAAACUGGAACUGAGACACGGUCCAGACUCCUACGGGAGGCAGCAGUAGGAAUCUUCCGCAAUGGGCGAAAGCUUGACGGAGCAACGCCGCGUGAGUGAUGAAGGUCUUCGGAUCGUAAAACUCUGUUAUUAGGGAAGAACAAAUGUGUAAGUAACUAUGCACGUCUUGACGGUACCUAAUCAGAAAGCCACGGCUAACUACGUG
Molecule: ribosomal RNA, 496 nt
Filed under: uncultured bacterium
Lineage: Bacteria
Description: partial 16S ribosomal RNA
Rfam family: Bacterial small subunit ribosomal RNA
Source: RNAcentral